Molecule: ribosomal RNA, 229 nt
Filed under: Coprococcus eutactus
Lineage: Bacteria; Bacillati; Bacillota; Clostridia; Lachnospirales; Lachnospiraceae
Description: partial 23S ribosomal RNA
Rfam family: Bacterial large subunit ribosomal RNA
Source: RNAcentral
AGAGCACGAGCCGGAAAUGGAAAAGCCGGUACAAGCGUAUAGCAGUCACAUAGGAAAAUCCGUGUGAGAAAUGUAAAGCGCGAUGUGGAUCGAACAUUAGUAGAGAAGCGUGUGAGCCAGCUGCCAAGAAAAGCCGCUAUUGUUUCAUAAGUACCCGUACCGUAAACCGACACAGGUGGAUGAGGAGAGAAUCCUAAGGCCGGCGGGAGAAGUGUUGUUAAGGAACUCG